UUUUAGAGUUUGUUCAUGGCUCAGAACGAACGCUGGCGGCAGGCCUAACACAUGCAAGUCGAGCGCACCCUUCGGGGCGAGCGGCGGACGGGUUAGUAACGCGUGGGAACAUACCCUUUGGUACGGAAUAGCCUCUGGAAACGGAGAGUAAUACCGUAUGAGCCCUUCGGGGGAAAGAUUUAUCGCCAAAGGAUUGGCCCGCGUAAGAUUAGAUAGUUGGUGGGGUAAUGGCCUACCGGGUCUACGAUCUUUAGCUGGUUUUAGAGGAUGAUCAGCAACACUGGGACUGAGACACGGCCCAGACUCCUACGGGAGGCAGCAGUGGGGAAUCGGGACAAUGGGCGCAAGCCUGAUCUAGCCAUGCCGCGUGUGUGCUUUUGGCCUUAGGGGCAAAAAGCACUUUCGCCAUGGGAUGAUAAUUAACAGACCUGGAAAGAACC
Molecule: ribosomal RNA, 440 nt
Filed under: Rhodobacteraceae bacterium M1S-115
Lineage: Bacteria; Pseudomonadati; Pseudomonadota; Alphaproteobacteria; Rhodobacterales; Paracoccaceae
Description: bacterial SSU rRNA
Rfam family: Bacterial small subunit ribosomal RNA
Source: RNAcentral